This 314-nucleotide ribosomal RNA is filed under the name uncultured eukaryote. RNAcentral's name for it is "partial 18S ribosomal RNA". It matches the Rfam family "Eukaryotic small subunit ribosomal RNA", at positions 1470 to 1796 of the family's 1831-position model. The record is from RNAcentral.
CCCUUAGAUGUUCUGGGCCGCACGCGCGCUACACUGAUUCAUGCAACAAGUUUUGUCCUUGGCUGAUAGGCCUGGGUAAUCUUUGAACGUGAAUCGUGAUGGGGAUAGAUGAUUGCAAUUAUUCAUCUUCAACGAGGAAUUCCUAGUAAACGCAAGUCAUCAGCUUGCAUUGAUUACGUCCCUGCCCUUUGUACACACCGCCCGUCGCACCUACCGAUUGAAUGGUCCGGUGAAGCCUCCGGAUUGGCGCGCACCUCGGUGCCGCCGAGAAGUUGGCUAAACCUUNCNAUUUAGNGGAAGGUGAANUCGUANCA